This 324-nucleotide long non-coding RNA is filed under the name Populus tremula. RNAcentral describes it as "long non-coding RNA (PTRE_LNC001784)". The record is from RNAcentral. Lineage: Eukaryota; Viridiplantae; Streptophyta; Magnoliopsida; Malpighiales; Salicaceae.
ACAUGGAUGCAGUGUCACUUCUUCACAGCCUCGUCAACGAGGCUCAGAUUCUGAGGGUCGGUUUCCAUCAUCACCUAGUGAUAUAUGCCACUCAGCUGACCUGAGGAGGGCUGCACUCCUGCGUUCUGUGCAGAUGAGAACACAACCUACUGGUUCAUCAUCCUUUGAAUUGCCACCUACUGGUUCAUCAUCCUUUGAAUUGCCAUUUGGUUCAGGACACGAGCCUGGAUCAAACAUGGAAGGUGAAGAGCGGCCAUGCUCAUAUAUGAAAUCCUUGGUUGAAGAGAGGGAGUAUCCACUCGAGGAGUGUUCUUCAAUGAGCAU